Molecule: transfer RNA, 75 nt
Filed under: Alphaproteobacteria bacterium
Lineage: Bacteria; Pseudomonadati; Pseudomonadota; Alphaproteobacteria
Description: tRNA-Lys
Rfam family: tRNA
About the family: Transfer RNA (tRNA) molecules are approximately 80 nucleotides in length.
Source: RNAcentral
GGGCCCGUAGCUCAGCGGUAGAGCAUCUGACUUUUAAUCAGGUGGUCGAUGGUUCGAUUCCAUCCGGGCUCACCA